RNAcentral lists this ribosomal RNA (478 nucleotides) under uncultured bacterium. RNAcentral's name for it is "partial 16S ribosomal RNA". It matches the Rfam family "Bacterial small subunit ribosomal RNA", at positions 28 to 507 of the family's 1533-position model. The record is from RNAcentral.
GAUGAACGCUGGCGGCGUGCUUAACACAUGCAAGUCGAACGAGAAGUGAAGACGGAAACCUUCGGGCGGAAGGCUUUAUUUCGAGUGGCGGACGGGUGAGUAACGCGUGGGUAACCUGCCUCAUACAGGGGGAUAACAGUUGGAAACGACUGUUAAUACCGCAUAAGGCCACAGCACCGCAUGGUGCGGGGGUAAAAACUCCGGUGGUAUGAGAUGGACCCGCGUUCGAUUAGCCAGUUGGCGGGGUAACGGCCCACCAAAGCGACGAUCGAUAGCCGAUCUGAGAGGAUGACCGGCCACAUUGGGACUGAGACACGGCCCAAACUCCUACGGGAAGCAGCAGUGGGGAAUAUUGCACAAUGGGGGAAACCCUGAUGCAGCGACGCAGCGUGAGUGAAGAAGUAUUUCGGUAUGUAAAGCUCUAUCAGCAGGGAAGAAAAUGACGGUACCUGAGUAAGAAGCCCCGGCUAACUACGUG